UUGAGACACGAUUUCUUUCCUUCUUUUGUACUCCUUUUGUGAAGGCGUGAAGGGUGUCCAGCAACAAGUUUCUUUCCUUCCCCAAGAUAAGCUGUUAGAGGACAAAUCGAACUGAGCGGCGAGGAGUUUUUGUUGGUAUUGUUUUCCAAUUGGUUUCAACUUCUGCAAACAAAGCUAGAGCUGUGACACAUUGCAAGACUCAAACCAAGAGGGCACAGCUGGCUCAAGAUCCCUAAUCAAAGAUAUUCACGAUAAUGAAGCAUUGUCAACAGAUUUCCUGCUACAACAUCUGUCAUACUGAAAUCUUUCCUACUACAGAGAAAAACUACUGAUUCAGAAAGUGCUGGCACAUGGAGUAAGACUAGGAAGCAGACCUCAAGGAAAAUGAUCUCGGAAAGUGUGGGUUACCAGCACCUGGUUCAGCAGUGCUUCCAGCUGACGUGUUUGGCCUGUCUGUGGAGUUGUGAGAAAUCUGAUUAAAAAAGAAAAAAAAAGCCCAUCCUGGCAGAAGAUCUGUCUUAGAAAUCCAAGCAAAUCCAAAACAUCUGCAAGAGAAAUCAACUAACCAAUAAUGAAAAAUAAAGGAUACUUUGCUUCAAAGAAAGAGCUCAGUACAACUAUUGAACAUCUGUACGAACUUCAAGCUAUAAGAAGGGCUAAACCAGGUCAGAUGAGCAGCAACAUGAUGACAGUGAUGAUCUGGUGAGGGGAUUUGUCUAAAAGUGGACUGAAUUUGAGGAUUCCUCUGAGAAAAGAGUAGAAGGUCCAAGGAAGCUGGUGAUCCUUAUGUUCCUCGGGAGUGUAAAGUAUUAUGGCCAAACUGACACGGGAGGUUGUCUGCGCGGUGUUUCGGCCGGACCUCCCGUUCCCCUCGGAGGAAGGCGCCGGCGGGCCCCGCUUCCCACCCCAGCCCCGACGU
Long non-coding RNA from Gavia stellata (red-throated loon), 919 nucleotides. RefSeq lists it as uncharacterized. The transcript has 9 exons. The record is from RefSeq and is a predicted model, not a curated record. Lineage: Eukaryota; Metazoa; Chordata; Aves; Gaviiformes; Gaviidae.